UACCCACCAAGGAUCAUUGAUCAUCAAGAUGAUCCUCAUGAGUCUCACAAUCUAUCAGUGACACCUAGCAGUAUGUAGGACAAUCCAGCAGAAUAAAAUAUAAAUCUCUAGAUACAGUUAACACAUGAUACAGUCUCUUUAUCGUGAGUCCCAACCAGAUGAUAGGUCAUGGAUAAAUCAUCAAACCUUAACAUCAGUCAUAUGAUAAAUUCAAUCAGCUUGAGU
This 225-nucleotide long non-coding RNA is filed under the name Elaeis guineensis (African oil palm). RNAcentral's name for it is "long non-coding RNA (EGUI_LNC056936)". Lineage: Eukaryota; Viridiplantae; Streptophyta; Magnoliopsida; Arecales; Arecaceae. The record is from RNAcentral.